AUGUGGAGAAAAACCAUCACCUUUUCACUUGGCGAGGACCAAGUGAAUUUGGAAAUUCACUUUCCAAACUAUGGCAGCUGGGAGAACUGGAAGCUUAAAGACGACGCUGGAGGCUCUGGCUUGGGUGGAUGGCGGCGCUUUCCGCCAGCUGGGGAGGACCGGAGUUCAGCCGGAGAGGAAGAUAAGGCCUGCGUUCCUGGGUCCUCGGAGUCCGAAGUCCUGGGAGCCACCCGGGCGGAGGGCGGUGUAAACUGCUGGCUGAGCGAUCGGAGGCUAGGACAGGUGGAGACGUGCGCGAGGGACCUGAGCGCAGCCGGGAGGCGGGGGGGCGGCCCGGGUGGGAAGGGCGGGGGCGGCAGCGCAGCCCGAGGGCCCUCCCGCCUGCGGGUUCUGCCCGCCGCAGCAUCUCCUCGCGCUUCUCAGGCUCCACCUCCUGGAGGCGGGUCGGCAGCGGCGGUCGGCAGCGCCCACAGGCAGCACGCGCGGACGGCGGAGGCUGGAGGCUCGGCCCCCCGGGCGCGGUCGCCGAGGCGCGGAGGGUGCAGAGUCCCGUCCUCCACGCCGGCCGCUGGGCUCCGGGGCAGCCGUGGCCCUUGGCAGCGUCUGCAGCUCCUCUUAAGCGGAGUCCACCGUGCAGAGCUGCGGGGAAACCGCGGCCCAGCAAGGCGGGCGGGAGGGGGCGCUGAGGCCGAAGGGGCGGGGCGUUUCCGUGGCGCCGCUGCUCCGCCGGGGAUCGCCGUGCUGGGCGGGCCACCUGUCCCCCGCGGCUCCGCGCGCCCGGCUGUCGGAGGAGCUCGGAAGACCUCGGGUUCCGGAAGAGCUGGGCGGGGCGAGCGGGGCGGGCGAGGCGGGAGCGCACCCGGGGCCGGCUCGGGGCUGGCUGAGCGCGGGCGGGGGCGAGGCGGGGCGCGGGCGGGGGGCGGGGCGCGGGCGGGGCGCGGGCGGGGGCGCGGGCGGGGGCGGGGCGGAGCGCGGGCGGGGGCGCGGCGGCGGCGCUGGGCCUCAUAG
Molecule: long non-coding RNA, 1008 nt
Filed under: Canis lupus familiaris (dog)
Lineage: Eukaryota; Metazoa; Chordata; Mammalia; Carnivora; Canidae
Description: lncRNA (ENSCAFG00000058454.1)
Source: RNAcentral